ACGGGGGGUGCAAGCGUUAAUCGGAUUUACUGGGCGUAAAGAGUUCGUAGGCUGCUACUUAAGUUGGAUGUGAAAGCCCCGGGCUUAACCUGGGAACUGCAUUCAAAACUGGGUAGCUAGAGUAUGGGAGAGGAGAGUGGAAUUUCCGGUGUAGCGGUGAAAUGCAUAGAUAUCGGAAGGAACACCAGUGGCGAAGGCGACUCUCUGGCCUAAUACUGACGCUGAGGAACGAAAGCGUGGGGAGCAAACAGG
This 252-nucleotide ribosomal RNA is filed under the name uncultured bacterium. Its description in RNAcentral is "partial 16S ribosomal RNA". It matches the Rfam family "Bacterial small subunit ribosomal RNA", at positions 525 to 776 of the family's 1533-position model. The record is from RNAcentral.